AUACGGAGGGUGCAAGCGUUACUCGGAAUCACUGGGCGUAAAGCGCGCGCAGGCGGGCUGAUAAGUUGGAUGUGAAAGCCUACGGCUCAACCGUAGAACUGCAUCCAAAACUGUCAGUCUAGAGUGUGGGAGAGGGAGAUGGAAUUAGUUGUGUAGGGGUAAAAUCCGUAGAGAUAACUAGGAAUACCAAAAGCGAAGGCAAUCUUCUGGAACACUACUGACGCUGAGGCGCGAAGGCGUGGGGAGCAAACAGGAUUAGAAACCCGAGUAGUCC
This 274-nucleotide ribosomal RNA is filed under the name uncultured bacterium. Its description in RNAcentral is "partial 16S ribosomal RNA". It matches the Rfam family "Bacterial small subunit ribosomal RNA", at positions 523 to 796 of the family's 1533-position model. The record is from RNAcentral.